GUCUCCGUAGCUCAAUCGGAUAGAGUAACCCUCUCCUAAAGGGUAGAUCUCGGUUCAAUUCCGGGCGGGGACG
RNAcentral lists this transfer RNA (73 nucleotides) under Paenibacillus swuensis. It matches the Rfam family "tRNA". Rfam says of the family: Transfer RNA (tRNA) molecules are approximately 80 nucleotides in length. Their secondary structure includes four short double-helical elements and three loops (D, anti-codon, and T loops). Lineage: Bacteria; Bacillati; Bacillota; Bacilli; Caryophanales; Paenibacillaceae. The record is from Rfam by way of RNAcentral.